Molecule: ribosomal RNA, 1329 nt
Filed under: Salmonella enterica subsp. enterica
Lineage: Bacteria; Pseudomonadati; Pseudomonadota; Gammaproteobacteria; Enterobacterales; Enterobacteriaceae
Description: bacterial LSU rRNA
Rfam family: Bacterial large subunit ribosomal RNA
Source: RNAcentral
GUUGGGUAGGGGAGCGUUCUGUAAGCCUGUGAAGGUGUGUCGUGAGGCAUGCUGGAGGUAUCAGAAGUGCGAAUGCUGACAUAAGUAACGAUAAAGCGGGUGAAAAGCCCGCUCGCCGGAAGACCAAGGGUUCCUGUCCAACGUUAAUCGGGGCAGGGUGAGUCGACCCCUAAGGCGAGGCCGAAAGGCGUAGUCGAUGGGAAACGGGUUAAUAUUCCCGUACUUGGUGUUACUGCGAAGGGGGGACGGAGAAGGCUAUGUUGGCCGGGCGACGGUUGUCCCGGUUUAAGCGUGUAGGUGUGUGUUCCAGGUAAAUCCGGUUCACUUUAACACUGAGGCGUGACGACGAGGCACUACGGUGCUGAAGCAACAAAUGCCCUGCUUCCAGGAAAAGCCUCUAAGCAUCAGGUAACAUCAAAUCGUACCCCAAACCGACACAGGUGGUCAGGUAGAGAAUACCAAGGCGCUUGAGAGAACUCGGGUGAAGGAACUAGGCAAAAUGGUGCCGUAACUUCGGGAGAAGGCACGCUGACACGUAGGUGAAGUGAUUUACUCAUGGAGCUGAAGUCAGUCGAAGAUACCAGCUGGCUGCAACUGUUUAUUAAAAACACAGCACUGUGCAAACACGAAAGUGGACGUAUACGGUGUGACGCCUGCCCGGUGCCGGAAGGUUAAUUGAUGGGGUCAGCGCAAGCGAAGCUCCUGAUCGAAGCCCCGGUAAACGGCGGCCGUAACUAUAACGGUCCUAAGGUAGCGAAAUUCCUUGUCGGGUAAGUUCCGACCUGCACGAAUGGCGUAAUGAUGGCCAGGCUGUCUCCACCCGAGACUCAGUGAAAUUGAACUCGCUGUGAAGAUGCAGUGUACCCGCGGCAAGACGGAAAGACCCCGUGAACCUUUACUAUAGCUUGACACUGAACAUUGAGCCUUGAUGUGUAGGAUAGGUGGGAGGCUUUGAAGCGUGGACGCCAGUCUGCGUGGAGCCGACCUUGAAAUACCACCCUUUAAUGUUUGAUGUUCUAACGUGGACCCGUGAUCCGGGUUGCGGACAGUGUCUGGUGGGUAGUUUGACUGGGGCGGUCUCCUCCUAAAGAGUAACGGAGGAGCACGAAGGUUGGCUAAUCCUGGUCGGACAUCAGGAGGUUAGUGCAAUGGCAUAAGCCAGCUUGACUGCGAGCGUGACGGCGCGAGCAGGUGCGAAAGCAGGUCAUAGUGAUCCGGUGGUUCUGAAUGGAAGGGCCAUCGCUCAACGGAUAAAAGGUACUCCGGGGAUAACAGGCUGAUACCGCCCAAGAGUUCAUAUCGACGGCGGUGUUUGGCACCUCGAUGUCG